Molecule: ribosomal RNA, 482 nt
Filed under: uncultured bacterium
Lineage: Bacteria
Description: bacterial SSU rRNA
Rfam family: Bacterial small subunit ribosomal RNA
Source: RNAcentral
UUGAACGCUGGCGGCAUGCUUUACACAUGCAAGUCGAACGGCAGCACGGGGGCAACCCUGGUGGCGAGUGGCGAACGGGUGAGUAAUGCAUCGGAACGUACCGUGUAAUGGGGGAUAACGAGUCGAAAGACUUGCUAAUACCGCAUACGCCCUGAGGGGGAAAGUGGGGGAUCGCAAGACCUCACGUUAUACGAGCGGCCGAUGCCGGAUUAGCUAGUUGGUAGGGUAAAGGCCUACCAAGGCGACGAUCCGUAGCUGGUCUGAGAGGACGACCAGCCACACUGGGACUGAGACACGGCCCAGACUCCUACGGGAGGCAGCAGUGGGGAAUUUUGGACAAUGGGGGCAACCCUGAUCCAGCCAUGCCGCGUGAGUGAAGAAGGCCUUCGGGUUGUAAAGCUCUUUCGGCCGGGACGAAAUCGCUACUUCUAAUACGAGUAGUGGAUGACGGUACCGGAAUAAGAAGCACCGGCUAACUACGU